AGCUCUGUAAGCGUAUACCAAAGUUGUUGCAGUUAAAACGCUCGUAGUCGGAAAUGGGUGGUUUCGGAGGAAUACGUCCGCCAAGUGCGUAUUCGCCGUUAUUGCCUUUGUGUGAAGUGUGUGGGAUGAAGCGCAUUUAAUUGCGAACGUCUUGAAUCACGCAUCCACUGUUUACUGUGAAAAAAUCAGAGUGCUCAAAGCAGGAAAUUGUUUCUUGAAUGUAUUAGCAUGGAAUAAUAGAAUAGGACUUGGUCUUAUUUUGUUGGUUGUUGUUAGGGCUGAGUAAUGAUUAAGAGGGACAGUUGGGGGUAUUUGUAUUCCGGUGCUAGAGGUGAAAUUCUUAGAUUACCGGAAGACAAACAGCUGCGAAAGCGUCUACCAAGGAUGUUUUCA
Molecule: ribosomal RNA, 393 nt
Filed under: uncultured eukaryote
Lineage: Eukaryota
Description: SSU rRNA
Rfam family: Eukaryotic small subunit ribosomal RNA
Source: RNAcentral